GCCCUGGUAUUCCAACUGGCAGAGAAAAUGGCUUCAAACUCCAUUCAGUGUGGGUUCGAAUCCCACCCAGGGCACCA
RNAcentral lists this transfer RNA (77 nucleotides) under Phytomonospora endophytica. Its description in RNAcentral is "tRNA-Leu". It matches the Rfam family "tRNA". From Rfam's summary of the family: Transfer RNA (tRNA) molecules are approximately 80 nucleotides in length. Their secondary structure includes four short double-helical elements and three loops (D, anti-codon, and T loops). The record is from RNAcentral. Lineage: Bacteria; Bacillati; Actinomycetota; Actinomycetes; Micromonosporales; Micromonosporaceae.